GUUAAUUAAAUCUAGCAUUCGCCAAGAGAAGCUAGAGUUGACUACUGGAACGAACUAACAAAGGAGAUUUAAAUAAAUAGUGAAAAGGGCUAACUUUUUUUAGGACUGUCUGAAUGAUUGAAAAGAGAUCUGAGUGAGAAUGUGCCUUGUCUUGUCUUUUCUGUAGCCAACCCAACUUUUUAAAGAUUGAUUCUACUACUUACCAUGUUUGCCAUCUCAUGUGCUUCCUCCAAUAUUGGUACUGAGGCUGUCUUAUAUAGUUAAGACCGUAACUUAGAAUUAUUAUCUAUAAAGAAGUUUUGAAAGUUCGUGUCAAAAUCUAAAAUUAAAAUACAUAGAUUACUAUUUGUAAAAUCUAACCAAAAUUUACAAAAUUUAAGAAAUAUCUUAAUUAGUUUAUAUAAUUAUUAAAAAUUAUUUAUAGGAUAAUAUUUGAUGAUUAUUUUUGUCUUUCAGAUAGAUUUAUAUCGAUAUAUUUAUAUCUAGAGAGAAUUACUUAAAAAAAAACUCAUAUCUAUAU
This 520-nucleotide long non-coding RNA is filed under the name Ricinus communis (castor bean). RNAcentral's name for it is "long non-coding RNA (RCOM_LNC001643)". The record is from RNAcentral. Lineage: Eukaryota; Viridiplantae; Streptophyta; Magnoliopsida; Malpighiales; Euphorbiaceae.